Molecule: ribosomal RNA, 427 nt
Filed under: uncultured bacterium
Lineage: Bacteria
Description: partial 16S ribosomal RNA
Rfam family: Bacterial small subunit ribosomal RNA
Source: RNAcentral
GUGAGGAAUCUUCCACAAUGGGCGAAAGCCUGAUGGAGCAACGCCGCGUGAAGGAUGAAGGUCUUCGGAUUGUAAACUUCUUUUAUGAGUGAAGAAUAUGACGGUAACUCAUGAAUAAGCACCGGCUAACUACGUGCCAGCAGCCGCGGUCAUACGUAGGGUGCAAGCAUUAUCCGGAGUGACUGGGCGUAAAGAGUUGCGUAGGCGGUUAUGUAAGCGAAUAGUGAAACCUGGUGGCUCAACCACACAGACUAUUAUUCGAACUGCAUAACUCGAGAAUGGUAGAGGUAACUGGAAUUUCUUGUGUAGGAGUGAAAUCCGUCGAUAUAAGAAGGAACACCAAUGGCGUAGGCAGGUUACUGGGCCAUUUCUGACGCUAAGGCACGAAAGCGUGGGGAGCGAACCGGAUUAGAAACCCGAGUAGUCC